CCUACGGGAGGCAGCAGUGAGGAAUAUUGGACAAUGGGCGCAAGCCUGAUCCAGCCAUGCCGCGUGCAGGAAGAAGCAUCUAUGGUGUGUAAACUGCUUUUGUACGGGAAGAAACACUGCUACGUGUAGCAGCUUGACGGUACCGUAAGAAUAAGGAUCGGCUAACUCCGUGCCAGCAGCCGCGGUAAUACGGAGGAUCCAAACGUUAUCCGGAAUCAUUGGGUUUAAAGGGUCCGUAGGCGGUUUGGUAAGUCAGUGGUGAAAGCCCAUCGCUUAACGAUGGAACGGCCAUUGAUACUGCCAGACUUGAAUUACUAGGAAGUAACUAGAAUAUGUAGUGUAGCGGUGAAAUGCUUAGAUAUUACAUGGAAUACCAAUUGCGAAGGCAGGUUACUACUAGUUUAUUGACGCUGAUGGACGAAAGCGUGGGGAGCGAACAGGAUUAGAUACCCUGGUAGUCCACGCCGUAAACGAUGGAUACUAGCUGUUCGGGGUAACCUGAGUGGCUAAGCGAAGUGAUAAGUAUCCCACCUGGGGAGUACGUUCGCAGGAAUGAAACUCAAAGAGUAGUACGGCGNGNGAGAGACGACGACGACGACGACGGAGGAGGAGG
Molecule: ribosomal RNA, 613 nt
Filed under: uncultured bacterium
Lineage: Bacteria
Description: bacterial SSU rRNA
Rfam family: Bacterial small subunit ribosomal RNA
Source: RNAcentral